RNAcentral lists this ribosomal RNA (456 nucleotides) under Aquipseudomonas alcaligenes. RNAcentral describes it as "bacterial SSU rRNA". It matches the Rfam family "Bacterial small subunit ribosomal RNA", at positions 61 to 512 of the family's 1533-position model. Lineage: Bacteria; Pseudomonadati; Pseudomonadota; Gammaproteobacteria; Pseudomonadales; Pseudomonadaceae. The record is from RNAcentral.
GUCGAGCGGAUGAAGGUAGCUUGCUACUGGAUUCAGCGGCGGACGGGUGAGUAAUGCCUAGGAAUCUGCCCGGUAAUGGGGGAUAACGUUUCGAAAGGAACGCUAAUACCGCAUACGUCCUACGGGAGAAAGCAGGGGACCUUCGGGCCUUGCGUUAUCGGAUGAGCCUAGGUCGGAUUAGCUAGUUGGUGAGGUAAUGGCUCACCAAGGCGACGAUCCGUAACUGGUCUGAGAGGAUGAUCAGUCACACUGGAACUGAGACACGGUCCAGACUCCUACGGGAGGCAGCAGUGGGGAAUAUUGGACAAUGGGCGAAAGCCUGAUCCAGCCAUGCCGCGUGUGUGAAGAAGGUCUUCGGAUUGUAAAGCACUUUAAGUUGGGAGGAAGGGCAGUCAGUUAAUACCUUGCUGUCUUGACGUUACCAACAGAAUAAGCACCGGCUAACUUCGUGCCAGC